Molecule: non-coding RNA, 133 nt
Organism: Ceratotherium simum simum (southern white rhinoceros)
Lineage: Eukaryota; Metazoa; Chordata; Mammalia; Perissodactyla; Rhinocerotidae
Source: RefSeq, a predicted model, not a curated record
GUGUAUAGUGUAAGAUAGGGGUCUAGUUUAAUUCUUUUGCAUGUGGCUGUCCAAUGUUCCCAACACAAUUUGCUGAAGAGACUAUCAUUUUCCUAUUGUAUAUUCUUGGCUCCUUUGUCACAGACCAGCUAUC